UCCGGUUGAUCCUGCAGAGGUUACUGCUAUCGGGGUCCGACUAAGCAUGCGAGUCGAGAGGGUAAAGCCCUCGGCGUAUUGCUCAGUAACACGCGGAUAACCUGCCCUUGGGUCCGGGAUAACCCCGGGAAACUGGGACUAAUACCGGAUAGAUCAAAGAUACUGGAAUGUUCUCUGGUCCAAAACUCCGGUGCCCAAGGAUGGGUCUGCGGCCUAUCAGGUUGUAGUGGGUGUAACGUACCUACUAGCCUACGACGGGUAAGGGUUGUGAGAGCAAGAUCCCUGAGAUGGAUUCUGAGACAUGAAUCCAGGCCCUACGGGGUGCAGCAGGCGCGGAACCUUCACACUGCGGGAAACCGCGAUAAGGGGACCCCGAGUGCCAGCACCUAGUGCUGGCUGUCCCGCUGUCUAAAUAACAGUGGUUAGCAAGGGCCGGGCAAGACCGGUGCCAGCCGCCGCGGUAACACCGGCGGCCCGAGUGGUAGCCGCUAUUAUUGGGUUUAAAGGGCCCGUAGCCGGCCUAUUAAGUCUCUUGGGAAAUCUGGCGGCUUAAUCGUCAGGCGUCCAAGAGAUACUGGUAGGCUUGGGACCGGGAGAGGUGGGAGGUACUCCAGGGGUAGGGGUGAAAUCUCGUAAUCCUUGGGGGACCACCGAUGGCGAAGGCAUCCCACCAGAACGGGUCCGACGGUGAGGGACGAAAGCUGGGGGCACGAACCGGAUUAGAUACCCGGGUAGUCCCAGCUGUAAACGAUGCUCGCUAGGUGUCAGGUGCGGUGCGACCGCAUCUGGUGCCGCAGUGAAAACUUGAAGCGAGUCACCUGGGAAGUACGGUCGCAAGGCUGAAACUUAAAGGAAUUGGCGGGGGAGCA
RNAcentral lists this ribosomal RNA (869 nucleotides) under uncultured archaeon. RNAcentral's name for it is "bacterial SSU rRNA". It matches the Rfam family "Archaeal small subunit ribosomal RNA", at positions 1 to 878 of the family's 1478-position model. The record is from RNAcentral.